This 397-nucleotide ribosomal RNA is filed under the name uncultured bacterium. Its description in RNAcentral is "partial 16S ribosomal RNA". It matches the Rfam family "Bacterial small subunit ribosomal RNA", at positions 523 to 918 of the family's 1533-position model. The record is from RNAcentral.
AUACGUAGGGGGCGAGCGUUGUCCGGAAUGAUUGGGCGUAAAGGGCGCGUAGGCGGCUUUGCAAGUCAGUAGUGGAAGUCAAUUUUUCAAGGAUGGAAGUGCUACAGAAACUGCGGAGCUUGAGUGCAGGAGAGGUUAUCGGAAUUCCCGGUGUAGCGGUGAAAUGCGUAGAGAUCGGGAGGAACACCAGUGGCGAAGGCGGGUAACUGGACUGCAACUGACGCUGAGGCGCGAAAGUGUGGGGAGCAAACAGGAUUAGAUACCCUGGUAGUCCACACUGUAAACGAUGAAUGCUAGGUGUAGGAGGUAUCGACCCCUUCUGUGCCGCAGUAAACACAGUAAGCAUUCCGCCUGGGGAGUACGGUCGCAAGAUUAAAACUCAAAUGAAUUGACGGGG